CCUACGGGAGGCAGCAGUGAGGAAUAUUGGACAAUGGUCGAAAGACUGAUCCAGCCAUGCCGCGUGCAGGAAGACGGCCCUAUGGGUUGUAAACUGCUUUUGUUUGGGAAGAAACCUUUCUACGUGUAGAAAGCUGACGGUACCAUACGAAUAAGCACCGGCUAACUCCGUGCCAGCAGCCGCGGUAAUACGGAGGGUGCAAGCGUUAUCCGGAUUUAUUGGGUUUAAAGGGUCCGUAGGCGGACUUAUAAGUCAGUGGUGAAAUCCUGCAGCUCAACUGUAGAACUGCCAUUGAUACUGUAAGUCUUGAAUUCGGUUGAAGUGGGCGGAAUAUGGCAUGUAGCGGUGAAAUGCUUAGAUAUGCCAUAGAACACCGAUUGCGUAGGCAGCUCACUAAGCCUGGAUUGACGCUGAGGGACGAAAGCGUGGGUAGCGAACAGGAUUAGAUACCCUGGUAGUCCACGCCGUAAACGAUGAUUACUCGACAUUAGCGAUACACGGUUAGUGUNAUAAGAGAAGACAUUAAAGUUAAAUACCACCUCGGGUAAGGUACGGUUCGUUCGAAGAAAGUUAGAAACGUUAAAAUUAAGAAGUUAGUACGGGCGUUGAGACGNGCGAACGGACGACGACGAGGGAGGAGG
Molecule: ribosomal RNA, 641 nt
Filed under: uncultured bacterium
Lineage: Bacteria
Description: bacterial SSU rRNA
Rfam family: Bacterial small subunit ribosomal RNA (bases 1-540)
Source: RNAcentral